ACAGAGUUCCGUAGACCACGG
Molecule: microRNA, 21 nt
Filed under: Arabidopsis lyrata
Lineage: Eukaryota; Viridiplantae; Streptophyta; Magnoliopsida; Brassicales; Brassicaceae
Description: aly-miR402-3p
Gene: aly-miR402-3p
Source: miRBase by way of RNAcentral